CAACUGAAAGACCCUAUGUCUAUAUCAUGGAUGAACAUCAAUAAGUCUAACAAGAUUAUCUGAAUCAUGGAUGAAUACGUAGAACUCAUGUUUACCAUUUGUUUCCAUAAGUCCAACAAUUUUUACCUUUAGUCUAGGUCUACCUCAAGUAACUUGUCUACAAGAUCUGAACAUGAUACUAAUGAGAUUCAUCUUCAUCCUCCACCCCCUACUUCUAAGUCAUGGACAUACUUUUUUGACUUUUCACCACAGGUGGACUUCUAGAAGUUGGGUCGUCUAUGUUGAACUUUCAUCAUUAUCGCUUACUACUUUAAUGUCAUGAAAAAAA
RNAcentral lists this long non-coding RNA (328 nucleotides) under Cicer arietinum (chickpea). RNAcentral's name for it is "long non-coding RNA (CARI_LNC003388)". Lineage: Eukaryota; Viridiplantae; Streptophyta; Magnoliopsida; Fabales; Fabaceae. The record is from RNAcentral.